GUCCCCGUAGCUUAACGGAUAAAGCAGCAGGCUUCGAACCUGCUGAUGGGGGUUCGAUUCCCUCCGGGGACA
This 72-nucleotide transfer RNA is filed under the name bacterium. RNAcentral's name for it is "tRNA-Arg". It matches the Rfam family "tRNA". Rfam says of the family: Transfer RNA (tRNA) molecules are approximately 80 nucleotides in length. Their secondary structure includes four short double-helical elements and three loops (D, anti-codon, and T loops). The record is from RNAcentral.